Molecule: long non-coding RNA, 904 nt
Filed under: Ananas comosus (pineapple)
Lineage: Eukaryota; Viridiplantae; Streptophyta; Magnoliopsida; Poales; Bromeliaceae
Description: long non-coding RNA (ACOM_LNC036658)
Source: RNAcentral
AAUUCUUCUUUUAUAAUUAACACUCUCAACACUAUUUACUUCAAUUUGUAGCUUAGAUACAGAUAUUUUUCGCCUGCCCUUCUGAAUGUCCGUUUGAGCUCAAACUUGACAGUCAGGCUCGGUUUUACUUAACUUAACGAAAAAAAUUUUAAUCUUUCAGUUUCGACCACAUUUGGUCACCAAAAGCUUUACCGAACUGUAAUCUCUAGCAGAUAACAGUCAGAUUUUAUUUUCCACCUUCCGAGUGUCAGAAUGACAUGAAACUUUAAAUAUAGCCUCAUAAAAAUAAUUCUAACAUAUUCUCCAGUUUUCAUAAUUUUCUGACACUGUGCAUUUUCUGCUAAAAUAUCAGUCCCGUUUCGCACAAAAAAUUCUAAAUCUUCUGUUUUCGUUCCGAUUUCAGCACGAGUCAUUUCGAACUUAUAUUUCACUUCUCUAAAUCCAAUAAAAAUAGUAUCUCACACUAUUUUUAUUUUAUUUUAUUUUUUUUACUUUUAUAUAUAUUAAAAUUCAGUAUGUUACAUACAGUGCAUAGUAGCCUUUCUAGGAGAGGAAAGAUUUUUUUUUCUUUCUUUUUUCUUUUCAUUUUUCUUUCACACUCUGCAUUCUUUUUCACUACAAUUCCCCCGCCUCCUCGCCCCUCGCCCUCUGCCGAAGCCACCGCUCCCACCCCAAAGCGCUUUCCCUUCUCGAUCGUCAUCCUCAAAUCUUGAGGUACUCUCGUCGCCAUUGCUGUCAUAGUCCACGGUCCGCCCUCCAUUGUAGCCUCCUCUCCAUGAUUUGUGUCAUAUUUGAUCCCGCAUCGUCGUCGCCAGCGUUAGCAAAGGUGCAGGUGAGGAAGGAGAAAGGAGCACCAUGUCUACGUAGGAGCGAUGGAGGAGGAGGAGAAAGAGGAAGGAGAGGA